This is a non-coding RNA of Misgurnus anguillicaudatus (oriental weatherfish), 4650 nucleotides long. The record is from RefSeq and is a predicted model, not a curated record. Lineage: Eukaryota; Metazoa; Chordata; Actinopteri; Cypriniformes; Cobitidae.
AAUUUAAUUGUUGUUCCCCCACACCCCACAUUUACCUAUUUGAUAUAUUUUCAUAGAACCUUGUAUAUUUCUUUAUUGUUAUAUUCGGAUGAUUAAUGAAGCAAUGAUACGGUUCAUUUAUCUUGCAUUUACUAAGUUGAGAUUGAGUUGUGACAUUUUCCCUUGACUAUGCACAAAAGCUAGACAUGGGCUGGUCAGUCCAGGUCAUGAAGUACGACCAGACUUCCCUGUUCUAAUCUCCCUUUCCCCGUUUACACAAUACAACUGUCUAAGCAUUAUUAUUUAUGUAUCCGUAUCCAGACGUUCCUGCGAAGGGACCAAUCAUGUGAUUGUUCUCCAGACAUGUUUGCUCAAUAGCUGCCCACAUGAUUCUUCUAGACAUUAUCAAAUGUUUAUCAGGUGACCAGUGCUUCCUUUCUGUACACUAUAUAAGCUGAAGCCUGUCUAAUAAACUUUGGUCUAUGUUUGAACUGCAUCUCGGUGUCAGUGUCUUUCAUGGCCCCUGAUAUAUAUCAGAACUCUCUGCUGCUCACCUCAGACCUCGUCUCUUUACUACAGAUUCAACGAAAACUUCAUACCUCUAGACCUGCUUAGAAUUAGAUUCUAACAGUUGGGCGCUCGUCCGGCGACAGGGGGGUGAGCCUCCUCCCGACAGAACCGGAGACCGAAAUUCGAACACCGCAGAUCGGGGAGGACCUACAGAAAGGGGUAAGUGUCGCGAUAUUUCUAAUAAAUUUGAAAUACAGCGCUUACCCCUGUAGAGUCCCAGUAGGACCCAUAUCUUGUGCUCGAGACAAGAUCGGUCAGUUUCACUCGGCCCACGUGGGGCAGGUGGCCCAGAAAUCGCCACCGUUGGCUAAUUGAUUUACGAAUUAAUUGCUAGUAACGAAGUGAUAGUCGCUCACGAGUAAAAGAAAGAAAUAAAUUGACAACGAGUGAUUUCUUGUCAAUUAAAUUUCACGGGUGCGGUAAUCGAGAUUACCAGCACAUGCAGCAUUGACUGCGUACGGAGCGAGGUCGAAUAUACAGUUAGAGCUCGCUGUAUAUUUGAGAUCGCGGUGUUAUUGUUAUUCGUUAUUGUUGAGUAAUCAUCAACGAAACGUUGAAUUGAAUAUAAAACGAGCAUUGCCCACUAUCAAAGAAAUUUAUUAAAACUAUAUGAAUAACAUUUAUGACAUUUUAUGAAAACUGGAUUUUUGCAAAUUUCAAAUAAUUUGCCAAACUAAUAUAUAACUUCUAAAGAACGAAACGAUACGUAAAUGUAUUGAGGCUGAGUAGAGGAGCACAGAAAACCCGGGUGUUUGUCAAUUGCUUAUUUGUGCUUAUUGCUGUUUGCUUGUUAUUGCUGCUAUUAUUUGUUUACAUUGUGUUGAAGAUGGGCGAUUCUGCCACGGCCAGGCAAAAGCCUGAUGAAUUUAUGUAUACAAAUAAUAAAGGUUUUUAUGUUGAACUGUACGUCACUUAGCGGUUAGUAAUAUAAUAACUUUGCAUUGAAAACCCCCAACGCAAGAUGCGCUGCCAUAUUUUAUGUCGAAUAGUACCAGCCGAAGUUUAUCGUCCCCACAAAUUGCUGUAAAAUACGUGAAUGUUUUGCAAUCUCACAAGAAUUAUGAGCACCUCACAGGGGCAGAUUUAUACUAUUUUGUUGAAAACAUUUGAGAGCGAUGUAAAAAAAAAAAAAAAAAUAAAUAAAUAAAAAACAUAAUUGAUACGUGCCGCUGUCUGAUUCGGGAAAACCAUGUGACUGAAGAUGAGGGGACUGCAGCCUCUCGUCAUCCACUCACACGGGAAGAUCAUGAAUAUCAUGAUAUGCUUUUUUUAAUCAGCUGCACGUUUGUCUAAAUAAACGGUUUGGCAUUUGCCAGUAUUUAUCAGUUGCAUUAAACGGAAAGAUAAAACCAAAUGAAACUGCCUCUGAAUUUUGCACACGUUUUAAAGUAUUAUGAGUUUACUCUAGAUUACCGAUUGACAAAGUCUGAGUGCACUGUUACAAAUAUGCUGUUGAACAAUAUGAAUCGUAGGUACCGGUAAGUGAAAUCUGUUGGAUAUGAAUGUGAAUAGACUGAUUUGUGAGUCUGAUGCAUCUGGUGAACAUGCUAUGUUUUCAGUGCAAGUCUCAUCGAAUGGGAAAAAGCUUGCUUAAGCACCGGAAAGGAAACUGAGAUUUGAUAUAAUGUGUUAUUAUGUGGACAAAGGGGCCACAUGAAAUGUGACUGUCGUUCAAAGGGGGGUGCAAUUUUAUUCCAAGGGCGCCACCACGUAGACAGUCAAUGCAACAGCCAAAGCAAGUGCAUCAGAAACUAUCUGACAGUAAUUACCAGACAAACUGGCAUAACAAAACACAAUGAAAUGUUCUGACCCAUUACACCACCUCUGGAGACAUACAGUGAUCCUCUGCCUAUGGGGGGAGGAAGUAAGAAGGCCGACCAAGACCCAGUAGCCGCCCGCAUACCACAUGGUGUAGACACCUUGACUAACCCAUGCCUAUGAACUCAGUCAAACAAUGAUACAGGUUUCAUUGAUAUGAAACCAUACAAAGUUAAACUUAAACCUGUGUACAUCAAACAAUAUCCUUUGUCAAAAGAAAAGGAGGAUGGCAUUAAACCUAUUAUUUACCAUUUUGUUUAACAGGGUGUCCUCAUACCUACUCGCCAUACAACACACCGAUUAACCCGGUGGUGAAUGCUGAUGGAAGGACAUACUGUCUUACAGAAGAUUUAAGAGCACUCAAUAAACUGAUAAUUCAUCUGUCUCCGAUUGUUCCAGAUGUGCCGACUGUUAUAAAUUUUACCAUGCACACAUACGUAUUUCUGUCAUUGAUUGUGUGCUGCUUUGUUUCUCUGUUCCAGUGCAUCCAGACAAACAGCCACUGCUAGCCUUAUAGGAUAGGGGGUGCAAAAAAAAAAAAAAAAAAAAAAAAAAAAAAAAAAAAAAAACUAAGAAGGGUAUGUUGACUCACCAUCCGUCCUCUCCGCUGCGGUGAAAAAAGACAUUGAGAAAAAAAAAAGAUCAACUUGCUGUUUUCGGGUUUGCUGUCUGCUGUAUGCCGAUGACAUCAUGGUCUCUGCUCUGACUGAAAAGAACUGUGAGGAAGCCUCCAUUAUCGUCUGCAAUAUUUUGGUGGACGCUGGUUUCAAAGCAUCAAAAGAAAAGCUCCAGUGGGUCAAGCAAAAGUUCUCAUGCCUGGGUCACGUCUUAAUGCCAGGUCUUCGAAAAAACCUCCACAGAUCAGAUUGAACUGAUCUGGAAGAUUAAAUUCCCACGAACUGUGUAACAGCUCCAAAGUUUUCUGGAGUUCAUAAACUGUUGUCGCUCAUGGAAACCUGAGUGUGCUGCCCAUGACGGACAUUUGCGGAGCACGAUUGAUCACAAGGCAUCGCCUGCAUCACUGAUAUGCUGGACUGAUGAAGCAGAGACUCAUUUCAUGGCACUGAAACACGCCAUUACUACGGCCCCAACUCUGGGCCAUCCGAACUAUGCAAGGACUUUUCACCUGCAUGCGUGAGAGGCGAAGGGUGUGGCUCUGGGUAUCCUUUGGCAACAACAAGGUUGCACUUAUAGGCCAGUGGCAUAUCUGUCUAGAAAACUAGAUAAUGUAGUAACAGGUAUGCCUAAAAUGUCUUUAUGCAGUGGCUGCUGAUGUUCUGGUUGUACAGAUGGCUGAGAGAACGGUAUUAUCACAUCCAUUGACACUCUAUACAUCACAUCAAGUAGGUGCCAUAUUACACAACAUGCAAACACAACACAUGACGGCACAGAGGCGGUCUGGGUAUGAGGCUACGCUGUUGGCAACCAAAAAUGUAACGAUCCAGCCCACUUUUAACAUUAAUUCCACAGUUUUGGGACUGGUAGACAUGACUGAGCACGAUCUAAAACACGAUUGCAUUGUUGGAUUGACUACUUCCUGUUCCUCUAGGGCCGAUUUAAUGGAAUCGCCCCUAGAUGGGGGGGUCAGAUCUAUGUGGAUGGCUCAUAUACAAAGCCAUCGGACGGUGUCUACCUGUGUGGUUAUGCUGUGGUGUCGGAUACUGGUGAGGUUAUCGAAGCCUUUGCUCUAAAUUACAACUCAGCACAAGCUGCAGAAUUGGUAACUCUAUUACGAGCUUGUGAGCUAAUGAAAGGAAAAAAGCCACAAUCUACACGACUCAAAAUAUGUGUAUUCUAAAUUUUGUAAAAACAUGGGAAGCCUGAGAUUUUAAGACAGCAGAUGGUAAGCCUAUAGUUUAUUCAAAUUUGAUAUGACGGUUGACAAAAGCAGUACAGCUACCGUCUGAAGUGGCAAUAGUGAAAGUAAAAGGUCAUGAAUCAGGAAAUGAUGACCAGGCUGUGGGAAACAAGAAGAGCAGAUGAGGCUGCAAAAGAAGCAGCUCAAGCUCAAAUUAAAUCACUAUUUGAGUAUGAUGUCAAAACAGACCUUGCUAUGGUUGUGCAAGUGACUAACAUGAAAUUGAUAUAAAAUUUUUGCAGAGUCAACCGACGCAGGCUGACCUCGAAUAUUGGAGCAAGUACGGAUGUGCAGCAGACGAGAAAGGGAGAGUAGCACUUCCAAAACUGGGACUGGUAAUUUUAAUAAGAUAUUACCAUGGUCUAUCACAUACCAGUAGUACAAAGGUGACACAAGCAAUUAAUCCAUUUUAUUAUAUUGCAGAU